RNAcentral lists this ribosomal RNA (485 nucleotides) under uncultured bacterium. RNAcentral describes it as "partial 16S ribosomal RNA". It matches the Rfam family "Bacterial small subunit ribosomal RNA", at positions 29 to 507 of the family's 1533-position model. The record is from RNAcentral.
ACGAACGCUGGCGGCGUGCUUAACCCAUGCCAGUCGAACGCUGAAGACCUGGCUUUUGUUGGGUUGGAUGAGUGGCGAACGGGUGAGUAACACGUGAGUAACCUGCCCUCUUCUUUGGGAUAACGCCCGGAAACGGGUGCUAAUACUGGAUAUUCACUGGCCUUCGCAUGGGGGUUGGUGGAAAGGUUUGUUCUGGUGGGGGAUGGGCUCGCGGCCUAUCAGCUUGUUGGUGGGGUGAUGGCCUACCAAGGCUUUGACGGGUAGCCGGCCUGAGAGGGUGACCGGUCACAUUGGGACUGAGAUACGGCCCAGACUCCUACGGGAGGCAGCAGUGGGGAAUAUUGCACAAUGGGCGAAAGCCUGAUGCAGCGACGCCGCGUGAGGGAUGGAGGCCUUCGGGUUGUAAACCUCUUUCGCUCAUGGUCAAGCCGCAACUGUGGGUUGUGGUGAGGGUAGUGGGUAAAGAAGCGCCGGCUAACUACGUG